AGAGUUUGAUCCUGGCUCAGAUUGAACGCUGGCGGCAUGCUUUACACAUGCAAGCCGAACGGCAGCAUAGGUGCUUGCACCUGAUGGCGAGUGGCGGACGGGUGAGUAAUGCAUCGGGACGUGUCCGGAAGAGGGGGAUAACUGUUCGAAAGAACAGCUAAUACCGCAUAAUAUCCGAGGAAGAAAGCUGGGGACCUUAGGGCCUGGCGCUUACGGGGCGACCGAUGUCUGAUUAGCUAGUUGGUGGGGUAAAAGCCUACCAAGGCGACGAUCAGUAGCUGGUCUGAGAGGACGACCAGCCACACUGGGACUGAGAAACGGCCCAGACUCCUACGGGAGGCAGCAGUGGGGAAUUUUGGACAAUGGGGGCAACCCUGAUCCAGCAAUGCCGCGUGUCUGAAGAAGGCCUUCGGGUUGUAAAGGACUUUUGUUGGGGAGCAAGGUGCACAGGUUAAGAGCUAGUGUACUUGAGAGUACCCAAAGAAUAAGGACCGGCUAACUACGUGCCAGCAGCCGCGGUAAUACGUAGGGUCCAAGCGUUAAUCGGAAUUACUGGGCGUAAAGAGUGCGCAGGCGGCUUUGUAAGCUUGAUGUGAAAUCCCCGGGCUCAACCUGGGAACUGCAUUGAGGACUGCAAGGCUAGAGUGUAGCAGAGGGGGGUAGAAUUCCACGUGUAGCAGUGAAAUGCGUAGAGAUGUGGAGGAAUACCGAUGGCGAAGGCAGCCCCCUGGGUUAACACUGACGCUCAUGCACGAAAGCGUGGGGAGCAAACAGGAUUAGAUACCCUGGUAGUCC
This 795-nucleotide ribosomal RNA is filed under the name uncultured bacterium. RNAcentral's name for it is "bacterial SSU rRNA". It matches the Rfam family "Bacterial small subunit ribosomal RNA", at positions 8 to 796 of the family's 1533-position model. The record is from RNAcentral.